This is a non-coding RNA of Caenorhabditis elegans, 21 nucleotides long. Lineage: Eukaryota; Metazoa; Nematoda; Chromadorea; Rhabditida; Rhabditidae. The record is from Ensembl.
UUCGAGAUGUAGUUUUAUAUU